This 389-nucleotide unclassified non-coding RNA is filed under the name Dyera costulata. RNAcentral's name for it is "partial external transcribed spacer". The record is from RNAcentral. Lineage: Eukaryota; Viridiplantae; Streptophyta; Magnoliopsida; Gentianales; Apocynaceae.
ACGUCCUCUCGUGCAUGCCUCUUCAUUUGUGGUCCAAGAGCAAUGUGAGCCUUGGCCGAGUGUCGGGUUUCCUGUGUUGCGUACCUACUGCGAAGGCAUUCGCUUGUCCCAUCGUCCCUCGUUCCUCUUGUGUGGCCCUUUGGGUGCCCGGCACGGGAUGAACCACGAAGCUUUCUUUGCGAUCCACGGCACGCCCGUCGUGUCCGUGGCUCGCGGAGUUUUGCUCGAUCUCUUGGAUGCGGAACGCCCCGAGGGUAUGGGGUCUCACGACCUCUGUUUUGCCCGAACAAGCGUUCGUCGCUAACUAGCGUACGACCGCCGCUCCCGCCUCGAGCUGUCGUCCCUUCGGGCGGCCUGCUCAUGCGGUGACGGCGUCGUUGAGGAAUGCU